CGGAGAGUGCAAACGUUGUUCGGAUUCACUGGGCGUAAAGGGCACGUAGGCGGCUCGGCAAAUCGGUCGUGGAAUCUCGACGCUUACCGUCGAAACGGCGGCCGAAAAUACCGGGCUCGAGGGCGUGAGGGGUCACUGGAACUCCUGGUGAAGCGGUGAAAUGCGUAGAUAUCAGGAGGAACGCCGGAGGCGAAACGAGUGACUGGCGCGUUCCUGACGCUGAGGUGCGAAAGCUAGGGGAGCAAACAGGAUUAGAUACCCUGGUAGUCCUAGCCGUAAACGAUGGACACUGAGUGAAGGAGGGCUUGCCCUUCUUUGCUGCAGCUAACGCGUUAAGUGUCCCGCCUGGGGAGUACGGCCGCAAGGUUA
This 369-nucleotide ribosomal RNA is filed under the name uncultured organism. RNAcentral describes it as "bacterial SSU rRNA". It matches the Rfam family "Bacterial small subunit ribosomal RNA", at positions 526 to 896 of the family's 1533-position model. The record is from RNAcentral.